GGCGAGGUAGCUCAGUGGCAGAGCAAGCGGCUCAUAAUCGCUCGGUCGUGGGUUCAAAUCCCACUCUCGCCA
RNAcentral lists this transfer RNA (72 nucleotides) under bacterium. RNAcentral's name for it is "tRNA-Met". It matches the Rfam family "tRNA". From Rfam's summary of the family: Transfer RNA (tRNA) molecules are approximately 80 nucleotides in length. Their secondary structure includes four short double-helical elements and three loops (D, anti-codon, and T loops). Further hydrogen bonds mediate the characteristic L-shaped molecular structure. tRNAs have two regions of fundamental functional importance: the anti-codon, which is responsible for specific mRNA codon recognition, and the 3' end, to which the tRNAs corresponding amino acid is attached (by aminoacyl-tRNA synthetases). tRNAs cope with the degeneracy of the genetic code in two manners: having more than one tRNA (with a specific anti-codon) for a particular amino acid; and 'wobble' base-pairing, i.e. permitting non-standard base-pairing at the 3rd anti-codon position. The record is from RNAcentral. RNAcentral also lists the same sequence under 1 other name.